Molecule: long non-coding RNA, 984 nt
Organism: Oryza brachyantha (malo sina)
Lineage: Eukaryota; Viridiplantae; Streptophyta; Magnoliopsida; Poales; Poaceae
Exons: 3
Source: RefSeq, a predicted model, not a curated record
GGCGCCGUCUCCUCCGCCGCUCGCCGCAGAUUGUCUCCCACUCGCUGGAACUAGCUCCAUUGCCUCCUUCUCCUCCUCCAAAUCACGACAUUUCUCUUCGGGGUAUCAGGAUCUUCCUAGGAGGGAUGGCGACGGGAUUAGCGCGGUGGUCUCCGGUGGCUUGGCCACGGCCGGGCACGGUUGGAUGGAUCUACGGAGCCAGCGGCGGAGGGGAAUCGGUGGCUCCAGAGCUUCUGGCAACCGAUGCACCGGAGUUCGGACCAAGCCUUUUGGAAGAUAAGGAUUCCCUUCAUAUCCUUCAGAGCAUUUGCACAGGGAGAUGUUGAUGACCUCCAUUGUUGUUGUCAUGUCUCUGAGCAUGGGCCGUGGUGGCUGGAAGGUGUCGUUGCAGGUGAUGGUGAAGUAGCUGCUCAGGGCACAGCCAGCACCGAUGCCAAAAGGGUAAGGGAUGGAUACAUCGCCGCAUUUGUCAGGGCAUCCUGGCAAUGAUAUUGCAGGUUCAGAGGUGGUGGUAGGCAUCGCCAUCGCGUGGAAGACAAUGAGGAUGAGGAGAACUGAUGCUGAUGCUUCUUGCAUGGCUGCAGAGUUGAGAGGUAUGGUGAUCACUUGCUAGUUGCUAUGGCACUAUUUCUGAACCUACUAGUUCAUGCUUCUGCAUCUUCCAUGUCUAUUUAUAAUGUGAUUACUGGAGUACUAGGUUGGGGCAGGUAACACUAGUUUAUGCUUCUGCAACUCCCAUGUCUCUUUAUCAUGGGAUUAACUAUACUACACUUGGACAAGUAAUGCUACUUCAUGCUUAUGCAACUUCCAUGUCUUGUAAUUUUGUGAUUAUUUAUACUAGAUUGGGACAGGCAAUAGGGUUUUAAGGAAGUAAGGUCAGCUCAGUUAUUCCAUUGCAGAUGUAGUUUUUAUAGUGCUGACAAACUGGAUAUUGUUACAUAUGAGUUUGAUUUCAACAACCGUCACUUAACUAGCUUUGGUGAG